Rosa rugosa (rugosa rose) is the source of this 1088-nucleotide long non-coding RNA. RefSeq lists it as uncharacterized. The transcript is spliced from 3 exons. The record is from RefSeq and is a predicted model, not a curated record. Lineage: Eukaryota; Viridiplantae; Streptophyta; Magnoliopsida; Rosales; Rosaceae.
UUCUAUCUCUCUCUCUCUCUCUCGCUCGACCGAAACCGAAAACAGAGCAAAGGCUCUUCGGUCUCUCUCUACCUCCACCGGCCACCAAACGGCGUCGAACCACUUCCUUUUGCUUCGUCUCAGCCUUGCGCAGCUGCCAGAGGCAGCCUUGCACCGUGACACGGCCACCAGCGGCGGCGGGAAACUCCGCCCGGUUUGAGCUCGUUUUGGAACCAAGCUUGAUAUCUCAAGCUACCGGUCACCAAUCCUCACCAAAAUCCAUCCACAAGCUCGCCUCAACCUCCUGAAGCUCCCAGAAGUGUCCUUGCACGGCGGCGUUGCGCGUGGUGGCGGCUGGAAGCCAGCCCCAAUCAAAAUAGAAACCGAGCGAUCGAUCUCGAUAUCUCGAGCUAUAGGUCACCAUUCCUCGUGAUUCCUGUCUCACUGGACUCGCCUCGACUUGCUGAUCAAGGACCAGGAAGGAUCGGAUCUGGGUAGAUCGAUUUCACGUUCGUCGGAGCUCGCCUCGUUUUAGAUCGAAAACCACCUUCAAAUCCGGAUAUCUCGAGUUACAGACGACCUUUUCUUGUGAUUCUUGGCUUGAUGAACUCGCCUUGAGUUUCUGAAGAAGUCUCCAGAAGGGAUCGAAGCGAUUGGUGGAAGUUUUUACGUCGAUCGGAGCCCUCGCCGGAUUCUGCAAAUUUUCCGGCAACCGUAGCUUCAAAGGUGAUUGACGGUCUUCCUUGGGUGAGCGGUUUCGGUGUGUAUUGUGUUAAAUUGAAGACGCAGUGGGAAUAUCGAGCGGGUAAUCCUGCAGGUCAGGAGAAUCAGGGCGGUGAUCGUACGGGUUAGAGUAUUUGUCAUAGAUUUACAGCAAUUGUAAUAGUGAGGUGAGUUAAGCUCAUUUGAGCCUUACAAUUUGAUUUGGUGAGAGUGUGUUGUAAUAAAUAAAUUGAGGAUUUGGUUUAUUGUAAUAUUGAGAGGUGUGAAGUGUGGUUGUUUGUGAGAAAAAAAUUUCAGGACGUUAUUUGUAAUUGUUAUUAUUCAUGUUUCGGACUUUGAAUUGAUUAUUCAAAAUUCGGGGCGUGACAGUAGGUUCAUUGGUUUUU